ACGGGAGGCAGCAGUGGGGGAUAUUGCACAAUGGGGGAAACCCUGAUGCAGCGACGCCGCGUGAGUGAUGAAGUAUUUCGGUAUGUAAAGCUCUAUCAGCAGGGAAGAAAAUGACGGUACCUGACUAAGGAGCUCCGGCUAAAUACGUGCCAGCAGCCGCGGUAAUACGUAUGGAGCAAGCGUUAUCCGGAUUUACUGGGUGUAAAGGGAGCGUAGACGGUGACGCAAGUCUGAAGUGAAAGGUGUGGGCUCAACCCGCAAACUGCUUUGGAAACUGUGUGACUAGAGUGUCGGAGAGGUAAGUGGAAUUCCUAGUGUAGCGGUGAAAUGCGUAGAUAUUAGGAGGAACACCAGUGGCGAAGGCGGCUUACUGGACGAUAACUGACGUUGAGGCUCGAAAGCGUGGGGAGCAAACAGGAUUAGAUACCCUGGUA
RNAcentral lists this ribosomal RNA (434 nucleotides) under uncultured bacterium. Its description in RNAcentral is "partial 16S ribosomal RNA". It matches the Rfam family "Bacterial small subunit ribosomal RNA", at positions 341 to 792 of the family's 1533-position model. The record is from RNAcentral.